UAUCCAAUCCAAAUGUCCAAAUG
RNAcentral lists this microRNA (23 nucleotides) under Oreochromis niloticus (Nile tilapia). RNAcentral describes it as "oni-miR-10749". The record is from miRBase by way of RNAcentral. Lineage: Eukaryota; Metazoa; Chordata; Actinopteri; Cichliformes; Cichlidae.